RNAcentral lists this long non-coding RNA (1916 nucleotides) under Junco hyemalis (dark-eyed junco). RNAcentral describes it as "lncRNA (ENSJHYG00000011830.1)". Lineage: Eukaryota; Metazoa; Chordata; Aves; Passeriformes; Passerellidae. The record is from RNAcentral.
UGAGACAAGUCUUCAGUCUCACCUGCAGCUUCUCUGCAGUAUAAAUUAACCCCUGCUUGAACACAGGGCUAGGAAUUUACUUUUCACACACAUAAUCCUCAGCUUCAUGUGGGAAAAAAAGGCAAAGGCAGAGCAUAUGCUGCUACCUGCUCUCUAGGCAGCAUUGCUGCUGUGGCUGUGGCAAAAAAACACCGUUCAGACAUAGUACCUCACUUAGCUCCUCUUCUGCUGGAAUCCACAUUAGCCCACAGGUAGGUCAGAAUUAGAGGAGGAAAAAAGUGAGGGCCACUUUCUGCCCCUGUCUUCCUAAGCUGCAGAUAACUAUUGAUUGUCCACAUUCACUGCCUGAGGCAAUGGAGUAGAAGACCAUGAGGAGAUGUUUAAAGUGCCUGGACUGCGAAGAAGUGUGAGGCAGAAAGGAAGUGUUAAACUUGCACUCAUCGUCUGACUUGAUAAGUCUCCAUUAGAUGACAAUGGCAAAACCUUGUAAACAUUAGGGAUCCCCUGCUAGCUACCAAAAAACCCCACAAAAUUCUGUGGUAUGAACUCUAGGUCUUCCUUCAUAAGCUCCUGUCUUAAAUACGUUGACAAGUACCACUACACAAACCUUGGAUUUGGACUGCCAACCUUAUCCAGUUGCCUUUCAGUUCCUUCGUGCGGUGCCAGUUUAAGCCGUCCCGCGGGCUCCCGGCCGAGGCUGUGCCCGCACAGCCCCGGUGAGUCAGCAGUCCCGGAGCGCCCUGCCAGGCCUGCCUGCCCUGCCGACGAGAGAAGGGACCCGCCAUUCCCGCACAGUGCGUGUGCACAUGCUUGGGGCCGCGCUGGGCAGGUCAUUUGCCUCAAUGGUAAAUGGUGUUUUGCAGAGCCCGGUUACCUAUGGCAACAGCGGAGAGGAAUACUGCAGGCGAUCUUCUGAAUCACAGGAUUUACAGCCCGUAUGUUUAUUCUGCAGAGAAACACUUCCAGCCCUGCUUCUGAUGUGAGCUGGGAACCGCGAGAGGGCUUUACAGAGCCAUUUAAAAGGCAAUGUGAGCUGGAAGCGAGGCAUUUUUAAUCAAAGGCCAGGUUCAAAAAAGAAAAACAUAGCCGAAUCAGAGGAGUCUCCAGAAUGAGCUCCAGUGUCACCGCGUACCUGCAGCCACACGCGCCGCCAUUAACAACCUCCUCACAACUUCACGGCUGCUCUCCGAAUUUCUCGCCUCUGCCUCAGCCCUUGCACAGCCGCCCUGGGCCGAUCGGCAGCACACAGCGGGCACGGCCCCCUCGGCCGGAGCCAGAGCGGGCUCUCCGGGGCCUCAGAGGCGCCGAGCUCCCGCUGGAGCAGUACCUGGGCUGGGCACUGCCCCGGCGGCAGCAAGAGCGCACGAAGGCAUCUGCUUUCAUUCCGUGCACGUACUACUGACUUACUGACCGCUGCAUGGGCGGUUUUCCUUAUGGCAUGAUAAACAUUUGAACAGGAUUUUAAAAAAUCAUCACAACUGGAGAGAGUAUUUUGAGCCUGUUGAGAAUUAAGCAUAUUUAAGACAACAUUUGAAAAACAAGACUACAAAUACAUACUUUUACAUAUAAUUUGGAAAUGCCACUGGCUUUGCUGAACUAACUGCAUUUCACCUCAUCCCUUCUGAGAAAAUAAGCAGUUCCAGGCCUGGCUAAGCUGUGGUGGGAAGUCAUCUGGGAAUUCAGGAAGCUAACGGCACAAGCCAAGGCACUGUGGUUGAAUGCUUGAGCAAAGAUUCAUUCCACCUAACUCUAACCUUCAGAAAGUCUGGAAUCUGGUUUUGGCUGCCUCUGUAGUAAGCAGAGAUAGGUUCAGUUGCUCAAAGACAACUCAUCACACUUAGAAGAAAUACCUGUGUGGCUGAGUGUGUGCUUGCAGGUACAUCUUGCAGUACUGGAGACAGUAAUGCAAUCUUGGU